UUCAGCUUAUUUCUUUCAAUUACCCACUGCCCGACGUAACCUUCGGUAAAAAAGUGAAACCCGUAACUCAGUCUCUCUUCUCUCUCUCUCUCUCUCUACCCCCCUAAACCCUAACUUCUACUAGCAGCUGGAUUCAUCGUCGCCGAUGACUAGGCCGUCGGUAUCUCUCUCUCUCUCUCUCUCUCUCUCUCUCUCUCUCUCCCUCCCUCCCUCCUCGAAAAUCCUAGCAUCUCUUGCUUGUUAGAUGUAGAUAUGGGUAGAUUAGAUCUGGGUUUAACUUAUCAAAAAAAAAUAUUAGAUCUGGGUUUAUGGUUUUGUUUGAGUUCAUAUCCAAUCGAUUUGUGAAUCUUGGUUGUCGUUCUAGAUUUGAACAUUUUAUGGGAUUUUUGAAAUUUCGUAUCAUAGAUUUGGUGUUGUUUUGAAUCUGGUUAUGUGGUUUGGUUGGUGCAUGUUUCGCUCUUUUGAGUAUUUUUAUCUUUUGGUGGUUGAAUCUUGCAUUCGCCUGCUGAUUAGUGAGAUUUUGCAUAUUAUGUUUUGUGGGGUUUUGUUUGAACAUUAUUACACCGCUUUGCGCUAGAACAGAUUUGGGUUUUUAACUAGUUGAUAGAAAUCUCGGUGGCCAUGUUUCCCUUUUAGAUUGUUUUUCACAGAUCUGGAUUUCUUUUUGCUAGAUCUGGAUUUUUGAUUGUUUGUUCUGUACGUGUAUGCAAGUGUCACCCAUUUCUCUCAACUUUUUAAUAACAUGUGGGUCAGAUUUUACCCAAUGGGCUCCUUCAAUAUUGGUGGCCAUGUUUCCCUUUUAGAUUGUUUUUCACAGAUUUUGGGUUUUUUGGCUAGAAUGUAACUAUAAUUUGUUUUGAUAUAAAAAAUAUUUUUAUGAGUUCUUUGAAGGAGCUUGAUCUCUAUGCUAGUGAAAUGCAUGGGUUAAGUUUGAAAACUGUGGAAUGCAUUGUCUUUUGUAGUUUUGAUUCGAGUUUUAUUUGGCAUGGUUCCUUGAACUGAAUUGUUAAAAGCUUAAACCUGAGAAUUUGGUCCUACAUUAUUGCAUUAAGCUUUCAAAUAACCCUUACUUCUUGCAUGAUCAUGUAUUUAUGUCUCUGUAAUUGUAUCUCUGUUUAUCAAACUAUUGGUGAGGUUAGAGAUAGGUUUUUGUAAUAAGGUUCCCUUUAUUUCUGUAAUAAUUUAUUGGAAUUGAUAUUUUUGUAAUAAUGACCCUCAAGAUUCUGUCAAUGGAAGUUGCUAUAUAACAGAGUAUGAAGUUGAUGGUGGUAAUAGAAGGCCACAACCUGGAGAUCUCAACUUGGUAAAGAAUAAAAGGUUGAAAGAAUUCAAAGAAAUAACCUCAGAGAGGACCCAAGAGUGCUGAAGUACUUUAGUUGCGGGGAGAGAUAAAGCAACUCUUGAAAGAAGCUGUUCUGAGUGCAUUAUUUCUUUUGAUAUUAGAUCAAAACAACAUUUCAUUGGUUUAACAUUUCAUGAUUCUUUUUUUAACCAUUAAUGGUACGUAAUUGCAUGCUUUACUUACACUUUGCUGCCCAAUGAGAGGAUCCUCAACCAGCAGUAGAUUUCUGUUUACAAGUUAAUCUGUUUUUUUUUUUUUAAUACAACUUAAUAUGCUUUAUUUUUAAAAUUCAUGCUUAUUCAGUUUCUAUUCAUUGUUGUUGGAAGAGUUUAGAUUUAUUUUUAAAGGAAUACUUUAGCAUUAAAUAAUAAUUUACCUAGUCAACCCUUUGUAAUUGAGGCUGUUGUAAUUGAUUGUAAUUUUCAUUUUUGUGUUGUAGUUGAUGCUGUUGGCAGCUUAUGGAGACUCAAUCCAG
Carya illinoinensis is the source of this 1817-nucleotide long non-coding RNA. RefSeq lists it as uncharacterized. The transcript is spliced from 2 exons. The record is from RefSeq and is a predicted model, not a curated record. NCBI's taxonomy places the organism in Eukaryota, Viridiplantae, Streptophyta, Magnoliopsida, Fagales, Juglandaceae.